UACAGAGGGUGCAAGCGUUGUUCGGAAUUAUUGGGCCUAAAGCAUCCGUAGCCGGUUCUGCAAGUCUUCCGUUAAAUCCACCUGCUUAACAGAUGGGCCGCGGAAGAUACUAUAGAGCUAGGAGGCGGGAGAGGCAAGCGGUACUCGAUGGGUAGGGGUAAAAUCCGUUGAUCCAUUGAAGACCACCAGUGGCGAAGGCGGCUUGCCAGAACGCGCUCGACGGUGAGGGAUGAAAGCUGGGGGAGCAAACCGG
This 253-nucleotide ribosomal RNA is filed under the name uncultured bacterium. RNAcentral describes it as "partial 16S ribosomal RNA". It matches the Rfam family "Bacterial small subunit ribosomal RNA", at positions 524 to 776 of the family's 1533-position model. The record is from RNAcentral.